GAAAUGCGAUAAGUAAUGUGAAUUGCAGAAUUCAGUGAAUCAUCGAAUCUUUGAACGCACCUUGCGCUCCUUGGUAUUCCUUGGAGCAUGCCUGUUUGAGUAUCAUGAAAUCUUCAAAGUAAAUCUUUUGUUAACUCAAUUGGUUUCUACUUUGGUAUUGGAGGUCUUUGCAGCUUCACACCUGCUCCUCUUUGUUCAUUAGCUGGAUCUCAGUGUUAUGCUUGGUUCCACUCGGCUUGAUAAGUUAUCUAUCGCUGAGGACACUGUAAAAGGUGGCCAAGGUAAAUGCAGAUGAACCGCUUCUAAUAGUCCAUUGACUUGGACAAUACUUUUAUGAUCUGAUCUCAAAUCAGGUAGGACUACCCGCUGAACUUAAGC
RNAcentral lists this unclassified non-coding RNA (378 nucleotides) under plant metagenome. RNAcentral describes it as "partial contains 5.8S ribosomal RNA, internal transcribed spacer 2, and large subunit ribosomal RNA". The stretch from base 1 to 105 matches the Rfam family "5.8S ribosomal RNA", at positions 50 to 154 of the family's 154-position model. The record is from RNAcentral.